RNAcentral lists this ribosomal RNA (253 nucleotides) under uncultured bacterium. RNAcentral describes it as "partial 16S ribosomal RNA". It matches the Rfam family "Bacterial small subunit ribosomal RNA", at positions 524 to 776 of the family's 1533-position model. The record is from RNAcentral.
UACGUAGGGUGCAAGCGUUAAUCGGAAUUACUGGGCGUAAAGCGUGCGCAGGCGGUUUUGUAAGUUUGUCGUGAAAGCCCCGGGCUCAACCUGGGAAUUGCGAUGGAGACUGCAAGGCUUGAAUCUGGCAGAGGGGGGUAGAAUUCCACGUGUAGCAGUGAAAUGCGUAGAGAUGUGGAGGAACACCGAUGGCGAAGGCAGCCCCCUGGGUCAAGAUUGACGCUCAUGCACGAAAGCGUGGGGAUCAAACAGG